This 71-nucleotide transfer RNA is filed under the name Loxodonta africana (African savanna elephant). It matches the Rfam family "tRNA". From Rfam's summary of the family: Transfer RNA (tRNA) molecules are approximately 80 nucleotides in length. Their secondary structure includes four short double-helical elements and three loops (D, anti-codon, and T loops). The record is from Rfam by way of RNAcentral. Lineage: Eukaryota; Metazoa; Chordata; Mammalia; Proboscidea; Elephantidae.
GCGGUGGUAGUUCAGUGGUAGAAUUGUCACAUUCCAUGCAGUAGACUUGGGUUCAAUUCCCAGCCAAUGCA